UAUUUUACCUAACUAAUCCCACAAUAAAUUAUUCUGGAAUCACUAUCCCAACCCAGGAAGGGAUAACUACUAAUUCUCUUGCAAUUUACUUUAUCAUGAAGACAUGAACUUAUUUCUUUCAGACUGCGCCUUAUUGAAAUAUUUGAUGUAAAAAGGCUUCAGAUGCGCUAUGCCACCUCUGUAAUAGGCGGGCCGUCCACUUUGGCCACUUUUGUAGCCGUCUAUUCUCUUUUUGGACCAACCUAUCCAGGAACAUAUGACAAGGACAGAGGAGUUGGACUGAAAAUCCUUAUGUCAGUGGUUCGAAUCCACUUCUAAGCAGGCGAAAGGUCCAAACCGUAGCCGGGAGUGAGCCGGAUUGAGAAAUGAAAGUGAAAGAGGAUUGUCGUUUGCUUUUCCAAUUCCCUCCCAGUAUACAGAUUGCUGCCGUGAUGGUGAAGCGGAACUACCUCUUGAGUUUCCAGAUGGCACAACCCCAGUUACUUGCCGUGUAUCAAUAUUUGAUAGUUCUGCUGGAAGCAAAGUUGGUGUUGGAUCCAUGAUGGACAAGGCC
Molecule: non-coding RNA, 553 nt
Organism: Solanum lycopersicum (tomato)
Lineage: Eukaryota; Viridiplantae; Streptophyta; Magnoliopsida; Solanales; Solanaceae
Source: RefSeq, a predicted model, not a curated record